AGUGAACGCUGGCGGUAUGCCUAACACAUGCAAGUCGAACGGCAGCACAGUAAGCUCUUUCUCUUACGGUUGGCGAGUGACGGACGGGUGAGGCAUACAUCGGCAUCUUCUUUUUCUUGGGGGAUAUCGUAGGACAACUUCUGCUAAUACCGCAUACUACCUACGGGUUAAAUCAAAGGUUCUUCAGACCUUUCCCGUCUCUUUUAGCUGAUGCCGGAUUAGCUAGUUGGCUGGGUAAAGGCCCACCAAGGCGACGAUCCGUAGCUGACCUGAGAGGAUGAUCAGCCACACUGGAACUGAGACACGGUCCAGACUCCUACGGGAGGCAGCAGUGGGGAAUAUUGGACAAUGGGCGAAAGCCUGAUGCAGCAAUGCCGCGUGGGUGAAGAAGGUCUUCGGGUUGUAAAGCCCUGUUGUUGGGAAAGAAAAGAUGUAGAUGAAAACGCCGAUGUCUUGACGGUACCCAAAGAAUAAGCAACGGCUAACUUCGUG
This 492-nucleotide ribosomal RNA is filed under the name uncultured bacterium. Its description in RNAcentral is "partial 16S ribosomal RNA". It matches the Rfam family "Bacterial small subunit ribosomal RNA", at positions 29 to 507 of the family's 1533-position model. The record is from RNAcentral.